RNAcentral lists this ribosomal RNA (164 nucleotides) under uncultured bacterium. RNAcentral describes it as "partial 16S ribosomal RNA". It matches the Rfam family "Bacterial small subunit ribosomal RNA", at positions 355 to 511 of the family's 1533-position model. The record is from RNAcentral.
UAGGGAAUCUUCCACAAUGGGCGCAAGCCUGAUGGAGCAACGCCGCGUGUGUGAUGAAGGGUUUCGGCUCGUAAAACACUGUUGUAAGAGAAGAAUGACAUUGAGAGUAACUGUUCAAUGUGUGACGGUAUCUAACCAGAAAGGGACGGCUAACUACGUGCCAG